CACGUAGGGGGCAAGCGUUGUCCGGAUUUAUUGGGCGUAAAGAGCUCGUAGGUGGUUCGGUAAGUCGGGUGUGAAACCUCCAGGCUCAACCUGGAGACGCCACCCGAUACUGCUGUGACUGGAGUCCGGUAGGGGAGCGUGGAAUUCCUGGUGUAGCGGUGAAAUGCGCAGAUAUCAGGAGGAACACCAGCGGCGAAGGCGGCGCUCUGGGCCGGUACUGACGCUGAGGUGCGAAAGCGUGGGGAGCAAACAGG
Molecule: ribosomal RNA, 254 nt
Filed under: uncultured bacterium
Lineage: Bacteria
Description: partial 16S ribosomal RNA
Rfam family: Bacterial small subunit ribosomal RNA
Source: RNAcentral